AGUGUUCACACAGUCAGACAUCUCGUCUGUGAUUAUGACCAGGCAUUUUGAGAUUCCCAUUUAGCACCACAGAACUUCCAGACUCUUCAGCCCAUGUCUGAGUGCAGAAGCAAUACUGUACUGCAGAAUCACACUCCAGAGUGGAUCACUGCUGCCUCAACUACUGACCAUGCUGCCACCAGAAGGGUGAUGACCCCUCUGAUAGAGGUUGUUUGUCUGGAAAGGGGCCCCAUGCUGUUGAGGAGUGAGGUAGCACCUCCAACCCUCCACAACUACCACUGCAAGGAAUGUGUGUGAGGUUUGUGGAUUGCCAGCAUGGUCCAGUACUGAUGGGCAGAUUGAGUCUCAAUGAACCACGCUGGCUACCUGGCUGCUGGAAAGCCAGUCUGGAGUGUCACCUCAACAUCCACAGGAACAGAGUGAAAGAUGCCACGAAGCUUAACUGGAGAUGGAAGGGGAAUUUGAAAAUGGCACAUCCCUCUUUCGAAGUAAAUUAUGCAAUCCCACAAUGACAAAACCUAUCUGGGAAACAGACAUGGCAGAGGACUGUAAAGUCAGAUGUGGGAUCCUACACGUCACUGACCAAUCCUUCAAAGUGUAUACAAGAAACAAAGCAAAUAAGAUUUCUGCUCUGACUCACUCAUAUAAUAGGAUGCCUCAAAUGACUCAAUGGUAUACUGUCAAAUGUGUCAUUCCGGAAAGUUUGUACAAAUACUCAUAAUUACCCAGGAACUGAUUAUAAAUUGGCAAACCAAAGGAGACAUCCCAUUCACAGCGUAAUCCUUUUGCAUCCUCCUAGUGUGCAUUUGAAAUUAAUAGGAUAUGAACAGUAAACUUAAAGCCACCUCAGUGGAAUUUACCUAUCAGGUACAGGCCAAAAGAUGUACCUUACAGAUGAAAGAGUGCAUACAAGAAUACUGACAUUUUGCCAA
Long non-coding RNA from Poecile atricapillus (Black-capped chickadee), 932 nucleotides. RefSeq lists it as uncharacterized. The record is from RefSeq and is a predicted model, not a curated record. The transcript is spliced from 3 exons. Lineage: Eukaryota; Metazoa; Chordata; Aves; Passeriformes; Paridae.